UGAAGGAAAGCGGCAGUCAGAGGACGAAUGCUUCCGCUGUGGUGAUGGCGGACAACUGGUGCUGUGUGACCGCAAGUUCUGCACCAAGGCCUACCACCUAUCCUGCUUGGGCUUGGGCAAGCGGCCCUUUGGGAAGUGGGAAUGUCCUUGGCAUCACUGUGAUGUGUGUGGCAAACCUUCUACCUCAUUUUGCCACCUCUGCCCCAACUCAUUCUGUAAGGAACACCAAGAUGGGACUGCUUUCCGCUCCACCCAGGAUGGGCAAUCCUACUGCUGUGAGCAUGACCUGAGGGCAGACUCUGCAAAUAAUACCAAGACUGAGAAACCCUUUCUAGACUCACUCAAGGCGAAGGGGAAGAGGAAGAAAAGGCGGUGCUGGCGAAGGGUCACAGACGGCAAAUAGCGCUUGGUCAGAUCCUGGGGUGGUGUGGGGCAGCCAGUCCUGCCUACAGUGGGAAGGCGAGCACGGCACUCACCCCAAGGACCCAGGUCAUAGUGCUCUAUGUAUAGGCCUACUUGGGUGGGAGGCAGCUCCUCUCACCACUGAGCCAUCCUCAGCAGCUGUGCUGUGUCUGCACUGAUGCUUGUCAGCUGCAUGCUUGGCGGUCCAGGAUAAGCAAGCCUCACUACACAGCGUCACCUCUACACUUGAAUCUGAGACCAACGUCAAGGUGCCCUCCCAUUUCUAUUUUAGAUUAAAGUUAUGAUUGAAGAUUAACUGGCAUGUGAAAUGCUUUUAUCUUACCUGUAACAUCAAGACUUUCCUAAAGGUCACCAUUAGCUCUUUCCUGAUGGUGCAGGCUUCUACUCACACACUGCCCUCUACUCAGGGCAGGCUGGGACUCAAGCCCUGGGCUCCUUCCAAUCAGGAUUGAUAAUUACUUUGUUGUUUUGAAACAGCCUAUGUUCUUUGUAUUAAUGUGAAUUUUUCCUCAAAGUGCUUUGUUUGCACUUUGAGUGGCUGUGGUUGUAAGGUUCCUCUCGGGGUUUUCCUUUCUGUGGACGUGAACAGUGACGGCCGUGUGCGGCCUGUGGAGCAGAGCAGCUGCCUUUGUGUGCCUGUUCUUCUCUAAUGCCUUUUGACCACCAUCUGGGGGGAACCUUGUACAUUUUCUUCACUUGGUAUUUAUUUCUGGCAUUUUAUUUCCAACAUACCUUUGCUAAAACUUUUACACACUUUACCAUUUACCAGCUAAAAUGUUGAGUUGCCAGGCAGAUAAAAGCUAUUGAGCAGAGGAAGAGGUAACCACAGGAUCCUGGGGGGGACACAAGACAGCCUGUGAACCUAGGCUGAGCUUUCUGUUUUGUGCAUUUGUCUGUGGAGCCUUGAGCUAGUUGUCGCUUAUCUCCACCAGGGCACCACCUGGUCUCAUGGUGGUCAAGUCUGAUGGUACCUGUUUCCCUAUGAGGUUAAGUGAUCUCUUAUAACGGCCCAGCCCAAGGACUACUGGACUGUCUUGGCAGACUUGCUUCUGUCCUCCCAGGGGUACAUCUUGGCAUUGGAGAGCUUGGGACACCCAGAAAGGAGACCUCAGGCUUUCUACUGGGAGGGAAAUACAUGCAGUGCAUCAGCAACAGAUGGCUUUAGAAAAGCUUGAAGGAAAUAUUGUGAACAUUUUAGACAAUUUCCCCUUUCCAAAAGUAUUAAUGAACAAGUAACACUAACUCUGAAAGCCAGCUGAAGAUCUAUUUACAAAUCUGAGGUGAUGGCCUUUCCUACAGAGACCAGCCACAGGCCUAGGGCUGACUGGAAUGUAAGGUGUUCUGAAUCUGACAAGAACUGCUACUUUGUGAACAUCUGCUCCAGUUUCUUUUUCCUUAAUGUGACAUAAACAAAUGAAAGCUGCCCAUGUCCCAUACUCCUCAGGAGCCUUUGGCAUCCAAAACCAGACAGGGUGUUCCCUAGUCAGCACACACCUGUGGGGGAACUGUAGCAGUUAAAACCUUGGCACUUGUAGGGUGGUCCAUCUGGCAAGAGUGAUGAGGACCCAGGUGCUAUAAGGAACAUCCUGGCACUUGAAUGUGAGGAUUCCUAGGGUCUCAGGCAGGCACGCCCAGGUUGGCAUUUCUGAUGACUUCCAAGUGACCCCUGUAGCAUGAUGUGUGAAGUGCCCAUCUUCCACAGAGUUAAAGAUAAAAAUGUUUUGAUUAAAAUUAACACAAACACCUGUCAAUUGCCAAAUAUUUUCAUCUACAUGGAGUGUAGCUGAUGACUGUUAGCAGAAUAAAAUGCUGUGUCCAUGUGUAUCAUGGUGUCACCAUCCUGUUGAGACGUGAAAUGCCCUAUCAGAAAUUAAAUUUAAAUUUAAAUGUGCCUAUUGGUGUCUAAACUUGAUACAAUAUAAAGUCAGGUUCCUUUUAGGAAUGCUGGGUGCUGUCACUAGGUCUGAUAGUGAAGGCUUAAAAACUUGAAGUUUGGGGGGAGGGGGGAGGUAAUACUGAAAUAUAGAUGAGAAUUAUCAGUUGGGGGGAAAAUAGCAUUUAAAGUGGCAAGUUGUGUUUGGAAAACUGUAAUGAGUAUUUUUUUAUUAAAAAACUUUAAAGGC
RNAcentral lists this long non-coding RNA (2546 nucleotides) under Rattus norvegicus (Norway rat). RNAcentral describes it as "long non-coding RNA NONRATT010051". Lineage: Eukaryota; Metazoa; Chordata; Mammalia; Rodentia; Muridae. The record is from RNAcentral.